This 56-nucleotide transfer RNA is filed under the name Vateria copallifera. RNAcentral's name for it is "partial tRNA-His". It matches the Rfam family "tRNA", at positions 1 to 49 of the family's 71-position model. Rfam says of the family: Transfer RNA (tRNA) molecules are approximately 80 nucleotides in length. Their secondary structure includes four short double-helical elements and three loops (D, anti-codon, and T loops). The record is from RNAcentral. Lineage: Eukaryota; Viridiplantae; Streptophyta; Magnoliopsida; Malvales; Dipterocarpaceae.
AAGGGCGGAUGUAGCCAAGUGGAUCAAGGCAGUGGAUUGUGAAUCCACCAUGCGCG